Molecule: long non-coding RNA, 5417 nt
Organism: Canis lupus familiaris (dog)
Lineage: Eukaryota; Metazoa; Chordata; Mammalia; Carnivora; Canidae
Exons: 5
Source: RefSeq, a predicted model, not a curated record
CAUCAGCUGGCACAGCCCACGCAAACCACCGGCUGUCAGCCCGCCGCCCGCCGCGGCCCCCGCACCACCUGGCAGCAGCCAACACCUCCGGCAGGCUGGGCUCUGUGGCGCUGGCUGCCCGGCUCGCAAAAGCUGGUGAACCUCACCCGGACCUGACGCCCUGCUGGAGACAGUGACACUCCCAGCACUGGCUGCAAUGGGGGGGGAGACGGGAGUCCCUGAGCAAAGUGACCCUGGAUAAGAAUGCCCUUCAGGCAGCCCCAGAAACUACCUCUCCCAAGUUUAGACCACACUGGGUAGCCUGAGAGCGGAGAGGUGACAGUGAGACAGGUGUAAUCACCUGAAGAGCAGAGACCCCCUUUACAUGCCCCUGGAAGAUGCCAUCUGACCCAGUGAGAUCCACUCAGAGGAUACUUCUGUCCUUGCAGUUCCCAGUGCCGGAUUGUUAAACCAUACCAACCUCCUGGUUUCUGAGCCACUCAGAGACGGAGGUCUUAAAUCUUAGGAGGACCUAAGACAUCGAAAUUACUGCCACCUAGGAACACCUGCCCUGCUCCUGGGACCAGGAGCUCCAGCCCCAACACCCAGGCCUCCCAGAGCUUCCAUUGAGCUGUCUACCUGCCUCAACACCAGCUUUCCUGGUGUGGCAGUCUUCAAUCCUUGCCACAAUCUACGGCGGUGCAUCUCCCCAACCAAACCAGUCUGGCAUCCAGCUCACCACUGAGGGCAGCUGGGGAACUACCUUCAGUUUGGAACAAGGAAGGGUCUCUGCAGGCAAGAGGGCCCAGCGCUUUUAUUUUUUGCCAGCUGGCACCACACUUAGCCCCCUCCUGGGCCAAAGAGCUGAAAAGAGACAGCAACUGAGAAAAGCUUGGCUGAGAAGGGGAACCAGGGAGACUUUGUUUUUCCUCGAUCAGAAAAGCCCUACCCCACUUCUUUAGCUUUUAUUUUGUUCUAAAAGCUUUGGAAUACCUCCACAGAGCUACGUGCUAAGGCAAGAGCCCGAGCCUAAGGAUGGCUACGAGAUGCUCAGGACUACUAUGCAACCCAGAACACAUGGCAGGGAAAGGCACCGCCCCAUGUGCUGCAGUCCUCAAGUCCAGAAUCUGAGGUGGGGCGAAGGAAGUUCUCAACUGAGCUGAGAAGCCCUGCCCGGAGCCACAGGCUUGCUGAGGCUAACGCCCUUCUGCUCCUUCAAAAGCUUUAAAGUGACUUUAGUGCCUUUAUUAAAGUCUUGGAGUUCAAGAGAGCCUCAUCUGGGACCCUUCUCUCCACAGUGCCUGACCCCCUGUGCCCUAGGUCCAGGAGCCCAAUCAGCAGAUUAUUCCUGGAGGGCCAUGAGGGACAGGGGGAUAAUGAAUGUGACAAUAACAUCCUGAGUCUGCUUAGUGGUCCAGCCCAUGGUCCAGAGCAGGAAGAGUGUUCUGUGGCAUCCAUCUGACAGACACUGAAUGUUGGAGAUUGUUUAGAAACACUCACCUGCGACACGGAUGCAGAAACCGGUCCCAAGACAUGUGACUUGCCUAAGGCUGCCCAGUAGAGCCUACAAGAACCAUAACCCGUGGUCUCUCUCCAUACUCUACCCAAAGUACUACUGCUAUUGUUCAUAAAUUACUGGAACCCAACCGCCCAUCAGCCACACAGGCAAGAAAUGACUGCGAACACCCAACACUACCACCACCCGACACUUCUGUCUCCCAACAAGAGUAGAGGCUUCAGGAGCAAGCCCCCCCAUCACCUUCUAUGGGCACCCAGCAGAUUUCCCCAUCGGAGUCACCAUCAGCAACAGCAGUUUGGGUUUCUGCAGCCCCUGGCCCAGCUAAGAGGUACAAAAACCCUACCACUUCUGAAGUGGAUCCCCUGAAGCGCACCAAUGGGAACCUUUAAGUCCAAGGCAAGUGUCCCACCUGCAUUCAGAGUUUGGAGAAACUCACAUUUCCAUUUUCUUCUUUGGCAAGUAGGAGCUGGAGAUCUGGUGCAUGAUCACCAGGGCAGGAUAGAGGGGCAGUGCCAGGCACAGGUACCAGGCUGUACCUUUGAUCUGGGCCUGGAACCACACUGAGUACAUGCCCAGGAGCACCGUGACCGUAGCCGUCAGGUAGACCACCAGUCCACAAGUAAGAUGGUAGAGUUUGAGGCGAGCCACCCUGGACACCCCGGCUGCUCGGGGACAGAGAAGGCAGGACCCGCACAGCGCCUGCCCACCCGUGGCCAGCAGCGUCACCACCCCCGCCCAGCUGUGCCAGGACGCCAGGUGGGGCAGCUCACUGCGGGCCCUGCUGAGGAUGAUGAAGCCCAGGCCCAGGGCCGCACAGAGGAUGGCUAGGGUCUGUCCCGCCCAGUGGAGUCGGAUCCGGGCCUUUCGGGAGCAGAAGAAGAACAGAGAGUGUUCAGGCGAGAAGAGCAGGAUGGCCUCAGCCAUGCAGAGGCAGAACUGUGAACACAGGAGAGGGCCAGUGAGUGCAGGCCCGGCCUGGAGGCCUAGGAGGAGGUCGUGCUUGCACUCCUCCACACUCCUCAGCAGGGAGCCUAAAGAACUCCCCCAGGACCUCCUGCCUCGGGUCAGGGUCAGCGUCUGAGCACAGGCAGGAAUGGACAGCUGAGUGAGGUCCUCCUUCAGGCCACAGCCAUGCCCACCUCCUCCACAGGCGGGGCUCCCAUUUCCUGACCCAUGUUAAGCAAAUUUUUAGCAAGUGUUAAACCUCCUCCUGAACUUCGUGGGGCUGGAGUUGGGGGUGGGGGCAGGUGACUGGACACCACUUCUACUUCCUCCUUUCAGGUCUUAGAGGAGAAGAAACGUCUUCCACGGCCUCCCAACUCCCCUCAGCCACGGACACUAACUACAGCCCAGCCUUCCAUGUCUCCCAACCAUAAGCUGCAGGGGAAGAUGGGGCCCUCAUCCUCUCCCCCUGGUCUCUGGGCCUUAGGAAGGCUGGAUGCUUCCCUAGGGGCAUACCAAGCAAAUCAGGGGCAGAAAGGAAGCCCAAACUCACCGCCAAGGCCAUGAAUACAGGGUGCCAGGAGAAAAGACCUAGGAAUCAAAGAGAACAGACUGACAGCCGGGCGCCAGGUUUCUGCCCUGCGGCUGGCGGGAGCCCGAGACUCCGGCUACGGGGAAGGUCGGCGCCCUGCUGCCGCCCCAAUCAGCAACUCGUGCGAAGUGGAGCUGCCAGUGGGGCUUACGGUGAGCAACCAAGGGGGAACCAUCCACCAGGUCUGGCCUGGGCUCCCCCUCCCGCAGCUCCAGCUCAGCUCGGCCCUACACUGGCCCUUGGCCUCCUUGUAUCCUCCACGAGGGGCUCCGCUUCUGCUGAACCGUUUGGCUGUCCCCUAUGCCUAGUCACCCAGAAGGUACUGGAAGCGAUGGGUAAGGGUCGGGAUUCCCUCCCCCACCACCCACUCAUGCCCUGCCUCAGCCCAGCCUCGGCCUGUCAGCUUCCCACCUCUCCUUCAUUCUAUCUGGGGUCUUGCCAAACAGCCAAACCGCAUCUCUAGGUGUGUGAGAACGAGGGCUUCUGAAGCCCACGUACAUCCGGGCCCCGGGGGACUAGGGAGGGUGGUUCUGGGCCGGAGAGACUCACUUCCACAUGUGAGAGCUGAGGUGCCGCUCCAGCAUGGAGCUCAGUGCUGAGCAGAACCGGUCCAGCCGGCGGCUAAACACGUAGCAUCCUGGACUCACCAGCCGGCUCCCAAAGGUGCAGAACUAAAGGCAGAAGGAAGGUGCACGGCAGAGAUGCGUGUGUGUCUCCUUCGGCCAGGCAGGCUCUCCCCGGGCUCCGGCGCAGCCUCUGCACACGAAGGGGCCAGUGAAUGAAUACGCGGUAGGACUGCCUCACCCAGGACCCUGACCCUUUCGGUUCCCCAGGAGGCUGGUGGCCACGGCUCCGGGACCCCUGGCCCUUCUCCCUGGAGGAGGUUUUGGUGGAACCUGGGGCCCUACAAGCUGGGCCCUGCCCAUUCACUACAUGGCAUUUCUGAGAGCUGGCAGGGGCUGGAGGUGGGGGUGGGGCCCGGGCAUAAAGCUUGCUGAGGGGCCCAUGUCUUCUUUCUGUCACCAGGAGGUGGAGAGAGUAAUCAAGGGCUCGCCUCACCGCAGUGCUUCUGGAAAGCUUGAGGCUUCACCACUUGGCUGCAGUGGUUACACACAACCAAAUAGAAGUCGUCAUGGGCAGGGCAGUGCCCGAAGAUGGACAUGUCUGCAAUGAAGAAGCCCUCAUCACUGGGGCUGGGGAUCCCAGGGGUUUCCCUGUAAGGUCAGACAGCACUCCCACCCACCCCGCGCAGAAGACACCUCCCCCUCCCAGCUGACAUGACAAGCUUUAUGCUGCAUGCUCUCAGCUUCUAGAGAUUCAUCUAAGAAGGAGCUGUUGGGUGAGUGAGCCCAAUCACCUAUGAUUAGGAUCUCCCACAACAGGUCACAGGCGGUAGGUGAAUGGGCUGACUCAGAUCUAGCAAAGUGAGGCUCCCCAGGCCUGCUGCUUCAAGCAGCUACCUCCUGGGAUAUGCUGGAAGAGAGGAAGGUGGUCCUGUCUGCCCUAGGCCCCAGCCUAAUGUGUGUCAACUCCCACCUUCUUUAAUGAGGGUCAUGGCAUCCAACUUCUUCGUGUUUUUGUUACUCUCCUCCAACUCAGCCCCUAGAGGAGAAACACAGCUCAGAAGGAACACCUCCACCCCAGAAGCCCCAUCUCCUACCCAAGCGGCAGCGGCCUGGCAGCAGAGCAGCAGGAGCCCACAGUCCCUAACACGCUUCUGGUGCUCAGGAUCUGGUGCUCAGGACCGCUUACAGUGCCUUUCAGCAGGUCAUUCUCAAGUGCCCAUUCUUCCUUCACCUGCUACCUCUGGAAUGGCCUGACCCCAUUAGGAAGGAUCCUGUCACCUUUCUUAUGGACCCUUCACUCCAAGGUGCGAUUCCCAGCUCCACUGCAAACUACUGGGCGAUUGUGAAUAAAUAUGAUCUCUUUUCUGGGCCCGCUUCCCCAUUUAAAUGGGAAACGAUCCUUAACAUAUUUUACUACAAAUCUCUAAGUCCCUUCUUUGGAGAUUUCUCUGAUGCGUCCUUUCUGCUACUCUGUGCCGUGCCAAACAGGUACCCUCCCAGGUCCCCAUCCCCAUGAAUGCUAUUCUGUUCCACCUGGGUUACCCUGGUACUGACAAAGUUACACCCAGCUUCUGAGGUCCUGUGCUGACAGGAUGGUCACAGAGCAUCCUGAGAAGAGAAACUGCUGUCUGGCUGGGGGGGUCCUCUGGCAUCCUCAAAGUCCCUUUGGUCACCUAUGCAAGCCCCUCCCCUCCUUAGGAGGGCUCUGGGCAAGGGUUGCCCUUCUACCUCAGUUUCUGGGUUGAUGACAAAAACAUCUUAGCUGUGCAAAGCAGCUCUUUCCCCCAUCCCCCUACCUUACUCCUCUCCCCUCCCUCCU